Molecule: ribosomal RNA, 26 nt
Filed under: Ramaria sp. 5 AK-2012
Lineage: Eukaryota; Fungi; Basidiomycota; Agaricomycetes; Gomphales; Gomphaceae
Description: partial 18S ribosomal RNA
Source: RNAcentral
CGGCUAGGGGACUGCGGAGGACAUUA